Molecule: ribosomal RNA, 1483 nt
Filed under: Enterococcus faecium
Lineage: Bacteria; Bacillati; Bacillota; Bacilli; Lactobacillales; Enterococcaceae
Description: bacterial SSU rRNA
Rfam family: Bacterial small subunit ribosomal RNA
Source: RNAcentral
GACGAACGCUGGCGGCGUGCCUAAUACAUGCAAGUCGAACGCUUCUUUUUCCACCGGAGCUUGCUCCACCGGAAAAAGAGGAGUGGCGAACGGGUGAGUAACACGUGGGUAACCUGCCCAUCAGAAGGGGAUAACACUUGGAAACAGGUGCUAAUACCGUAUAACAAUCGAAACCGCAUGGUUUUGAUUUGAAAGGCGCUUUCGGGUGUCGCUGAUGGAUGGACCCGCGGUGCAUUAGCUAGUUGGUGAGGUAACGGCUCACCAAGGCCACGAUGCAUAGCCGACCUGAGAGGGUGAUCGGCCACAUUGGGACUGAGACACGGCCCAAACUCCUACGGGAGGCAGCAGUAGGGAAUCUUCGGCAAUGGACGAAAGUCUGACCGAGCAACGCCGCGUGAGUGAAGAAGGUUUUCGGAUCGUAAAACUCUGUUGUUAGAGAAGAACAAGGAUGAGAGUAACUGUUCAUCCCUUGACGGUAUCUAACCAGAAAGCCACGGCUAACUACGUGCCAGCAGCCGCGGUAAUACGUAGGUGGCAAGCGUUGUCCGGAUUUAUUGGGCGUAAAGCGAGCGCAGGCGGUUUCUUAAGUCUGAUGUGAAAGCCCCCGGCUCAACCGGGGAGGGUCAUUGGAAACUGGGAGACUUGAGUGCAGAAGAGGAGAGUGGAAUUCCAUGUGUAGCGGUGAAAUGCGUAGAUAUAUGGAGGAACACCAGUGGCGAAGGCGGCUCUCUGGUCUGUAACUGACGCUGAGGCUCGAAAGCGUGGGGAGCAAACAGGAUUAGAUACCCUGGUAGUCCACGCCGUAAACGAUGAGUGCUAAGUGUUGGAGGGUUUCCGCCCUUCAGUGCUGCAGCUAACGCAUUAAGCACUCCGCCUGGGGAGUACGACCGCAAGGUUGAAACUCAAAGGAAUUGACGGGGGCCCGCACAAGCGGUGGAGCAUGUGGUUUAAUUCGAAGCAACGCGAAGAACCUUACCAGGUCUUGACAUCCUCUGACCACUCUAGAGAUAGAGCUUCCCCUUCGGGGGCAAAGUGACAGGUGGUGCAUGGUUGUCGUCAGCUCGUGUCGUGAGAUGUUGGGUUAAGUCCCGCAACGAGCGCAACCCUUAUUGUUAGUUGCCAUCAUUCAGUUGGGCACUCUAGCAAGACUGCCGGUGACAAACCGGAGGAAGGUGGGGAUGACGUCAAAUCAUCAUGCCCCUUAUGACCUGGGCUACACACGUGCUACAAUGGGAAGUACAACGAGUCGCGAAGUCGCGAGGCUAAGCUAAUCUCUUAAAGCUUCUCUCAGUUCGGAUUGCAGGCUGCAACUCGCCUGCAUGAAGCCGGAAUCGCUAGUAAUCGCGGAUCAGCACGCCGCGGUGAAUACGUUCCCGGGCCUUGUACACACCGCCCGUCACACCACGAGAGUUUGUAACACCCGAAGUCGGUGAGGUAACCUUUUUGGAGCCAGCCGCCUAAGGUGGGAUAGAUGAUUGGGGUG